Molecule: long non-coding RNA, 1492 nt
Organism: Triticum dicoccoides
Lineage: Eukaryota; Viridiplantae; Streptophyta; Magnoliopsida; Poales; Poaceae
Exons: 3
Source: RefSeq, a predicted model, not a curated record
GGAGGAACGGGCAGUGGACAACCUUGCUGCGGCUCGGGAUGAAGCAGCCACGAGCUUCCUCCUCCUCCGGCUUCAAUGGAGGUGUACCAACGGUAGUUUGAAGCAGAUUAGGCGGCCGCGGGCAUCUUUGGCGGUGAGGCCGUCCAGUGAAGGAAAUGGCAGUAUGGCGAUUUGUGUUCUAUUCUCCAUCCUUUAAACUCAUAACAGAAGAAAGAACUAUACAAUCACUAUUAUUUUAUUAAGAAAAAAACCUAUCAUGUACGCAUGUUUUGAUGAGUACUCCUCUUGACUCGAUUGUGUUGUAGGGAGUGAAAGCAUCCAAUUGCGGUGAUCUGCAGCUCUGGUCGCCUCCAGCAGCACCACAUAAUCAAAGUUCCAAACAGUUGUGUUGGACUGCUGCCUCCAGCCAACCAUAACAUAAUCAUUGGAUGUGCUUCUUAUGUAGAAGAUUUGAGUGAUCUAUGUGUUUAUUUCAGAAAACAUUUUCUUAAUGAAGAUUUAUAUUAUAUAGAUAUUCCUGUACAUUAGCUUUAGUUUUUUUGCUAACUAGAAAGUGGUUUCCUUUUUCUUACACCAACUCACUAAAGCAUUGGGUUCAUUUGGGGUUCCUAGAUAGCUAAUUUUAGGAGCACACAAGAUUUAGACUCCUGCUAUGUAAUUAAAGGAAAUCAUGAUAUUGACUAAUAUCCUCUAUAUAUUUACUAACCCUGGAUCAGAGACAUUUAAAUUUAAAUUAUAAUUUGGAAAGUUUAUUUAUAGGAAUGAUACAUAGUAUGUAUGAAUGCAUUUAUGAAAAUAAAUUUAUUUCAGCCACAUGUAAGCCAACACAGUAUCACAUGUAAUAUUUCUCAAUUAGUUAAAAGUAUGCUUCUUUUAAAACUGGUGGUUUUAUUUUUUAUUACAUAAAAAUGUUAUAGCUAUACAUGGCAAACUAAAAUUGUUGUGCAGACACACUGGUUGAUGACUAGUCUAACUAACUCAGGGAUAAAUUCAUUGAGUAAGAUGUAAAGUUGCCAAGAUAGUAACUAGGGCACAUAGAACGGGACAAAUAUAGAUUCUCUUAUUUUAUUAAGUAGAAUGGAACUUGGUGAAGCUUUACUUGUGUUGCGCUGUUCUAGAGAUGCACAAGACACAUGUAACCAUUUUCCCUUGGCAUUGCAGCUGCAUGCACCAACUUGAUGUAGGGCGACACCAUGGAAGAUUGAAAAGAUAUAUGGAUGAUUAUAUGGGUGCGUAACAAGUAUACUGCAAUGAUGAUGAUGAUGAUGACGACGAUGAUAUUCUGGUUCAUGAUGAUGAUGAUGGAUGCUUUCAAUUUUAGUUAAGUUGUGGGAUGUUCCUGUUGGAUGAUGUUCCUCAGUUAGUUUUAGUCAAGUUGUAGGGAUAUUGAUGAAUGAUUUUAGUUUAGAUUUUGCUGUCAAGAAAAUUUUAGAUUGUGCAUCACAUUUGGAUGAUGUUCCUCCUGUAAUAUCCAUUGUUGUAAUCCAACAGU